UACGUAGGGAGCGAGCGUUGUCCGAAGUUACUGGGCGUAAAGGGUGCGUAGGUGGAUGACUAAGUCAGAUGUGAAAUCCCUGGGCUUAACCUAGGAAUUGCAUAUGAUACUGUUCAUCUAGAGUUCGAAAGAGGUAAGUGGAAUUUCCGGUGUAGAGGUGAAAUUCGUAGAUAUUGGGAAGAACACCAGUGGCGAAGGCGGCUAACUGGUCCAGUACUGACGCUGAGGUGCGAAAGCGUGGGGAGCAAACAGG
RNAcentral lists this ribosomal RNA (253 nucleotides) under uncultured bacterium. Its description in RNAcentral is "partial 16S ribosomal RNA". It matches the Rfam family "Bacterial small subunit ribosomal RNA", at positions 524 to 776 of the family's 1533-position model. The record is from RNAcentral.